Molecule: non-coding RNA, 142 nt
Filed under: Physcomitrium patens
Lineage: Eukaryota; Viridiplantae; Streptophyta; Bryopsida; Funariales; Funariaceae
Description: Physcomitrella patens Eukaryotic large subunit ribosomal RNA
Rfam family: Eukaryotic large subunit ribosomal RNA
Source: Rfam by way of RNAcentral
GAUUCAAAAGAUGGUGUACUAUGUCUAAGUAGGGAGAAGCCAAAUGAAAUUCUAAUUGAAGUUUGUAGCAAUAUUAACACACAAAUCAUUCAACAAACUUAAAUAUGUAAAUGAAAGAGUAAUCAAACCACCUAAUAGUUGG